Molecule: ribosomal RNA, 458 nt
Filed under: uncultured bacterium
Lineage: Bacteria
Description: bacterial SSU rRNA
Rfam family: Bacterial small subunit ribosomal RNA
Source: RNAcentral
GACGAACGCUGGCGGCGCGCCUAACACAUGCAAGUCGAACGAGAGAUGAAGAGCUUGCUCUUCAAAUCGAGUGGCGAACGGGUGAGUAACGCGUGAGGAACCUGCCUCAAAGAGGGGGACAACAGUUGGAAACGACUGCUAAUACCGCAUAAGCCCACGGCUCGGCAUCGAGCAGAGGGAAAAGGAGCAAUCCGCUUUGAGAUGGCCUCGCGUCCGAUUAGCUAGUUGGUGAGGUAACGGCCCACCAAGGCGACGAUCGGUAGCCGGACUGAGAGGUUGAACGGCCACAUUGGGACUGAGACACGGCCCAGACUCCUACGGGAGGCAGCAGUGGGGAAUAUUGCACAAUGGGGGAAACCCUGAUGCAGCGACGCCGCGUGGAGGAAGAAGGUCUUCGGAUUGUAAACUCCUGUUGUUGAGGAAGAUAAUGACGGUACUCAACAAGGAAGUGACGGCUA